Molecule: small nuclear RNA, 105 nt
Organism: Erigeron canadensis
Lineage: Eukaryota; Viridiplantae; Streptophyta; Magnoliopsida; Asterales; Asteraceae
Source: RefSeq, a predicted model, not a curated record
UUCCUUGUUUGUUCAUGGAUGGAGAUUUGAUAAAAUUGGAACGAUACAGAAAAGAUUAACAUGGUUACUGCGCCACAUAGAUAAAGAAAAGUUUAUAAAGUACUA